AAUAAAUAAAUGAAUAAAUACAAUUUCUUUUACAAAAAUUAAAAAAUAAAAGUUGUUUAACAUAGUGCCUAACGUACGGUAAGCCCUCAAUAAAUGUUAGCCCAGAUCAUAUUACUAUUACAAUGUAUUAUUCAAAUGCCAUGUUUUUUCUUGCCUCUGAUUUCCACAAGGUGGCAGGUCGAGUUCAAAUUGGACCCUGUGGUUCCGUGUCCCAAAGGCAAAACCUAUUUAUUUUAAUUGCUUCAGAAUAACUGGGCCAAAUAUGAAUUAUUCGGGAACAUCUUCAUUGUCUGUAGAAUGUUAUGGUCCAGGCAUCUUACUGUUGCUGUAAAAUCCUUCUUAAUGGAACAUAUGGAUCAUUUAAUUUAAUCCUCUUGUUUCUCACAAUUCCCAGGACCAUCUGCAUUUACAUGAAAUGUAUGUUAACUCUUCCAGGGAUCAGCCGGCUAAGUGAGUACAUUCAAGUCACCUCGUUAUGCACUGUUUGGUUCAUGAAUGACUGUGAAGAGGAGAAAACUAGCAAACUGGAAAGAGUCCUGGGCUCUGUGAUUGGUGAACUGCAGAAGGAUGGAGAUUUGUACACCUCAUUCUGGAGUGGGAGGAUAUUUGGUCUAUUUACACAGCGCUACAAAAAAAAAUGACAAAUGCAGACAUUGAAUAGGGGUGUCUCUAGCCUAUUUGUAAGGGUGUGUUGAGGGAAAUGUUUAUUUUUUUAAUUUUUAAUUUUUUUUAGUUGAAAUAUAGUCAGUUACAAUGUCGUGUCUAUUCCUGGCAGACAGCAUAAUGUCUCAGUCACACAUAUACGUACAUAUACUCCCCUUCAUAUUCUUUUUCAUUAUAGGGGAAAUGUUUAAAUAGUAUAAUCCAACCUUUACUUCUGUGUAUCCUCUCCUUUUUCCAUCUCCCUAAUUUCAUGUCAUAUUGAUAACCUCCAAUUUCUACAGUUUUACUUUGUCUCUAAAGCAUUGGUUUGGAGGCCAGAUCAAACUGCAUCCAAAUCCUGGUCCUCUGCUCAUUGUAGCAGUGUUUCUGGCAGUCAGCAUUUGACAACUACUUAACUUCCUUACACCUCAAUUCUUUUUUAAAAAUUCAAUUUAAUUUUUUAAAUUGAGGUAACAUUGAUUUAUGACAUUAUAUAAAUUUCAUGGGUACAGUGUUAUAUUCCUACUUCUGCGUACCUUACAACAUCAAUUCUUUACCUGCUAAUAACAGCCCCUACCUGAAAGUUGUGAGGAUUAAAUGAAAUAAAUCACGUGAAGAAUUUAAUUCAAUCAGAAGUAGUUACUAGUAAUUGCAUUGGCAUAGCCCUGCCCAGCAAAUGGAAGAGAGUAGGUGUUCAGUAAGCAUUUGUAGAAUAAAUUAUCCCACUGCAGAGGGAUAGUAACUCUAAGACUGGCCUUGGACGUCUUCAAGGAAAACACUGAAAUCAGUGUUAUCUUGUCAAAUGUGUUCUCUGAUGCUGGGAGUCAAAUAUGUAAGUUUGUCCAGACUUAUUUCCUGGCCAUCACUUGAAUUGUGUGACAGGUGAGCAGUCGAUUUACUUAACCUUUCUGUGCCUCAGUUCCUUAUCUGUAAAGCCAGGACGGCACUAGCAUUUAGUGGUUCAGAUACAGAUGGGUGAGUUAUUGAGUUUUCAAUUAGUCAGUUUAAGUAAAACACUCAGCACAGGGUUUGCCCCACCUUAAGUGUUCAAUGAGCGUUGACUGCUAUCCUCUGGCUCUGUUUGGAAGACCUACAAUUGCUUUUGCUUGAUUCACUUGGGGGAUUUUUGGAUGUUGUAAAGUGAACUCUCCUAGUUUGUAAUUAGGAAAGGAGAUAAAAGCGACCUCUUGGCAAUUCCCUGCUCAUGAAACCUUGUAUUUUACAACCCACGGAAAUCACCCUAGAUUUCUUUUCAAACCCACCCCGGCAAACUGACAGAUUCAGAUCUUUCCCACCCACUUUCUGGGCGUCUCCCGUGGGACUGUGGAAGUAAAGCAAGUGUUAGUUGCUUUGUGCAUGAACUCUGUUACUAGUGCUGCAUUUCUGCUAGUGUCAGCAAGCUCAGCUUUCUGCCGGUUCCGUCUACCAGAGGGUCAGCCCUGCUCUGAGACUAGAGUUUGCCUGUUUCUGUGGAUUUUGUAAAGUCAAAAGUGGAAGGAAGGAGAAUUUCAAGUGAGGAGGUGAAUUACAAAGGAGAGGUAGCAUCGAAUGGCUGCUGCAAUAAAGAAUAGAAAAGAAAUCCCAAACCCUCUAAUCCAAGACACCAAAACAGCCCAUUCAGCUGUACGAGUUUUAAAACCCAGCUCUGCACAGAGAAAAUGGGCCAGUGAAACCUACCCGAGUCCUCUUCUGGCACCAGCUUCGUGGAACUGAUGUGGCGAUAAAUAAUUGCCCAGGGUGACUCGCAGAGCUCUGAGCCUGCCCCGAAGUAACAACUGCUACACUGUCAACCACCAGGCAAAUGAGAACUUUGACAAAGGACACUGAGAUCAAAUUGGCUCCUACACACGUGAGCAGGCCACAGUAGCGGGGGAGUGGGGAGAGCAGAGGUCCCGGUGGGGAGCGAGUGAGCAGGAGCCAAAUUCACACCUCCACUUGGAGAACUGCAGCCUGGGCGUCACUGGCCUAUACAGGUGCCCCUGGCCACAUGAACUCCAUGGAGUUUAGAGAUUUUCAACAUGGAAAAUUUAAACUUUUUGUGUUGUUUUGUGUUAGAGAGCCAAGUGCACAAGACAAACUUAGAUCACGUAUUGCACGCUGUUUAAACAGGUGUUGACUGAUCUCUUCAUGUCUUCCUUGGUUGCUGUCAGUCAAAUCAACUCCUUGAGCCCUUAUUCCUUCAAGGACUUAUUGCAUGGUCACCAUGGCCCAGGAACUGUGCUGGGUGCUGGGAUUAUAAAGCUACUCAUUUUCUGACUUCCAAGACUUAUUCUGCAGAAUGUGGAAGAGAAAGUAAAGAUGGAUACCUAGCUAAUUAGCAAAGAUAGCCUGGUGGUAGUGAUGGGGGUGGUGGUGGUAGUGAUAGUAAUAGUGGUGAUGUUGGUGGUAGUGGCGGUGGUGGAUGGGUUUGGGCCACCUGUCUGCUGCAUUUCUUUUUUUAAAUUAAUUUAUUUUUUAUUGCAGUACAGUCAAUUACAAUGUGUCAAUUUCCAGUGCACAGUACAAUGUCCCAGUCCUGCAUAUACACACAUAUAUUCGUUUUCAUAUUUUUUCAUUAAAGGUUAUUACAAGAUAUUGAACAUAGUUUCCUGUUCUAUACAGAAUAAACUUUUUUAAAGGCUAUUUUUAUAUCGAGCUGGCUGCCCCAUUUCUGCAGCUCUUUGACCUCAGACAAGAUUCUCACACUGUUGUUCCUGACUUCCAGCGUUAACAACUAAGAUAUUUGAAGAAACUGCUGAUGAUUAGGUGCUCAGUUAAAGACUAUCCAAGUCCUUAGGGCAGAAGUUAAGAGCCUAAAGCCAGUCCAGUUCAGGUUCAAAUUCUAGCUCUAAACAUACUAGUCACCGACAAACUAUUUAAACUCUUUGUGCCUCUGUUUCCUUAUCUUGAAAUUUGAUAGUAAUAAUUAAAUCAACCACCUUGGAGUACACAGAUUAAAUGGAUCAGUGCAUGUAAGCACUUAGAACAACCCAGCAAAUAGUAUGCACUCUGUGAGUGCUACUCACCACUAACUGUAGUAACACAUGGUAUGCUCUGUAACGAAGCUGCUAAAAAUGCUGUGAACCACUAUGCACCAUUAAAAUGUAUAGAUAUAGAUAGGUAGAUACACGUGUUCAAGAGACACAUGUGAUAUUUGGCUACGUAGGAAAAAAGAACGUUAACAAAACACUGGGAAACAGAAAACCAGAGAAACUGGGAGAACAGAUACGGCUGAGGUCACUGUUCAUUGUUCAUCUGUGGGUGGUAGGAUGACAGGUAAUUCAUUUUCUUCUUUUUUCUGAUUUGUGUUUUGUAAAAUUCUAACAAUAAUUGAUUUACUAAUUUUAAAACAUUUUUUAAUGAAAUAUAAGGAAGUUUGGUUAUUAAAAGGUGCCCAGAGCUCAAAUGAAGGAUUGAUGAGACCUGUCAGGGAAGGAUUCUCUGGGAAUGGAAACUCUGAGCUAGGUAUUAAAGGAAUUCAUUGGUAGGAGCUUUGAAGACAUAAAGAUUGGCACAGAGAUGAGGACAAGCUCCCAAGAACUGCCCAGUUAUGUAGCCUUGAUUAUAUGGGAAAGUCAUGCAACAAAGAGUGCCUGGGAUACGUGGGUCACCAACCCUUUGUGGAGAGCCUUCUCCGGGCCUGAAUAGUAACAGCCAACCCUUAAUGCCCACUUGUUUCCUAUUUCUGCAGUAUCUAGUGGAAAGUUAAGCUCCUCCCUCUCUUUCUCUCUCUCCCCCUUGCUCUCUCUCACUCUCUCUUUUUCUCUUUCUGAUUUCAGAAAUCUCAUUGUGGGCAAUAGCUAGAGACAAGUUUAAGUCUUCUUUGUGAUGGAACCCACAGCACAGAUGCUCAUUGUAUUGCCUGCUUUCCAGAUAUAGACAGUUUUUUAAAAAGAUGGGAAUAAUUUAUGGAACUCAUAGUGCCAGGAAGGCCCCCAAGGAGGGAUGACUGGAUCUGUUGUGGAAGACACGAGGAGUUAAAUGAGGAUGAAAGCCACCCUGACAAAGAAAGCAGUGACAGCGUCUUUAAAUCUUCGGAGACUGACUGAUCAGGAGGCCCUCAGACCGGAAGUGAACGGUUGCCGCAUGUUGUCUGCUCACUGAUCGUGGGCUAUCAGUAGCUAAGAAAUCGAGGAUGUGCAAGGCAGGGCAGGUGAAAGGGCAGAGUUGGAACACUGAACAAACUUUCCAGCAUUACUACAUAACUUCCUUGAUUCGUGGGGGAAGUGUGCUAUUUUUCGUCUCUGCUUCCCCACGCUGCGCAGAGCAGCGGUACUGAAACCAGUCAGCAACGGGGCCUGCAGCUUCAAAAGGUCAUGCUGCUGCGGGUGCAUUUUGAGUUGCAGUGAUAGCAGACACGCAGGCAAACAUCCAGAGGACUGGCAGGGCCCAGGCCUGAGCCGCAGGGGAAUCCGCCGUUUCUGGAGCUUCUGGGAGGGGAAUACGAGUCAAGAGAGGAAACCGAGUGAUGAGGAGGAAGGCCAUGCAGAGCUAUGGGGAGAAGCAGCAGAGCCCCCCUUUGCUCCCGAGACAUAUCUAAUAAGGCAGUGGUGAAAGAACAGCAUGUCUUGAUGGUCUACUCUGUGCUCAGCACUAUGCUGCCUGCUUUAUAGAGGCUCUUAGGCACAGUGGAAUGUCAGGUCUGGGGUAUGAGGGCAAAGCAGGAAGCAGUGAAGGCAAACUGUGUCUUUGUCCUAACUUCUACCAACUACUCUGAGAAAUCGGGAAAAUCAUUCCAUUUCUCUGAGUUCUUGUUUCAUCUUUAGUUCAAGGUUUGCAAAUACUAACAACUACAUACAAAGUAGAUAAAAAACAAAUUUCUUCUGUAUAGCACAGGGAACUAUAUUCAAUAUCUUAUAGUAACCUAUAAUGAAAAAGAAUAUGAAAACAUAUGGAUGUAUAUGUCUGACUGAAACAUUAUGCUGUACACCAGAAAUUGACACAUUGUAACUGACUAUACUUCAAUUAAAAAAUAAAUAAAAAGUACAUUUGGUAUUGGAAAAAUAAAGUUGUCUUUAAUUAAAAAUCAAAUCAAAUCAAAUUAAACUAAUAAUAUCUAUAUUAAUCAUUGAGCCCAUCAAUAUUAAUUGAAAGCCUACUGUGUGCUAAGUGGCAUAAAAGCUGGAUAUAUAUAUGUAGGUAAAUUAAAAUAAACCAGUGUCUUAUAAGUAAGUUCUGGGAAUGUAAUGUACACCAUUGUGAUUACAGUGAACAAUACUGUAUUGCUUAUUUGAAAGUUGCUAAGAGAGAAAAUCUUAAAAGUUCUCAUCACAAGAAAAAAUUUUUGACUGUGUGUGUGAUGGAUGUUAACUAAAUUUAUCGCGGUGAUCAUUUUGUGGAAUUUACAGUCUAUGGAUACAAGCAAGUGUGAUAAAUUAUAUAAAAUGCUU
Molecule: long non-coding RNA, 6011 nt
Organism: Camelus dromedarius (Arabian camel)
Lineage: Eukaryota; Metazoa; Chordata; Mammalia; Artiodactyla; Camelidae
Exons: 3
Source: RefSeq, a predicted model, not a curated record